This 159-nucleotide ribosomal RNA is filed under the name Amanita ponderosa. RNAcentral's name for it is "5.8S ribosomal RNA". It matches the Rfam family "5.8S ribosomal RNA". From Rfam's summary of the family: 5.8S ribosomal RNA (5.8S rRNA) is a component of the large subunit of the eukaryotic ribosome. It is transcribed by RNA polymerase I as part of the 45S precursor that also contains 18S and 28S rRNA. Functionally, it is thought that 5.8S rRNA may be involved in ribosome translocation. The record is from RNAcentral. Lineage: Eukaryota; Fungi; Basidiomycota; Agaricomycetes; Agaricales; Amanitaceae.
AUACAACUUUCAACAAUGGAUCUCUUGGCUCUUGCAUCGAUGAAGAACGCAGCGAAAUGUGAUAAGUAAUGUGAAUUGCAGAAUUCAGUGAAUCAUCGAAUAUUUGAACGCAUCUUGCACUCCUUGGUAUUCUGAGGAGUAUGCCUGUUUGAGUGUCAU